Molecule: ribosomal RNA, 253 nt
Filed under: uncultured bacterium
Lineage: Bacteria
Description: partial 16S ribosomal RNA
Rfam family: Bacterial small subunit ribosomal RNA
Source: RNAcentral
UACGUAGGGGGCAAGCGUUGUCCGGAAUCAUUGGGCGUAAAGAGCGUGUAGGCGGCUCGGUCAGUCCGCUGUGAAAGUCCAGGGCUCAACCCUGGAAUGCCGGUGGAAACUGUCGAGCUAGAGUCCGGAAGAGGCGAGUGGAAUUCCUGGUGUAGCGGUGAAAUGCGCAGAUAUCAGGAGGAACACCAAUGGCGAAGGCAGCUCGCUGGGACGGUACUGACGCUGAGACGCGAAAGCGUGGGGAGCAAACAGG